Molecule: long non-coding RNA, 1047 nt
Organism: Saccostrea cuccullata (small rock oyster)
Lineage: Eukaryota; Metazoa; Mollusca; Bivalvia; Ostreida; Ostreidae
Exons: 3
Source: RefSeq, a predicted model, not a curated record
GGAUAGAAGUGGGUAUGGGAAGAUGAGGGUUAAUUGGCCGGAGGAGGGCAGUACAGUAGAGAGGGUGCAUCGGGUAGCUCUUAUGGUAGAGAAGAGACAGACUAGGUCGCAGUUUGCAGUUGCAGGCCUGGAGGUCAGUCAUCUCUGCCAUAAGAAGUUAUGCAUUGACCCGAUGCACCUUACUCUGGAGCCGCACGCCACAAACCAGGAGAGGAUCCACUGCAAGGACCAGGGGUUUUGUUGUGGGGCUCACCACCCUAGAUGCAUUUUUUAAAGUAAUUUAAAAUAUGUAUUUCUUGAAUAUUAACUUGUUAAUUUCCUGUUUUCGAAUAAUUGUGUUCAGGGGGCUUUCUUUUAUUACCUCGGGCUCGAGAUUCAGCUAACAUCAUGUUUUUCUUAUAUUUUACUUCUUCCUGAUGUUUUUCGUAAAGUUUAUAUAAUUUCUUACGUUUAAUUACCCUUUUUGUUUUAUACGAUUGACUUUUCUGAUACGAUUUAUUUAAUUCAUGCUCAUUUUGUAUUUCAUUCAGAGUCUGGUCCACUUGGCCACCAGUGGGGAUGGGGGCACCAACCCCUGCACAGAGGCUUCGGAGCGAGCUGCCCGGACCGUGAUUUGAUGAGUGAGCUGCACUGUGCGCCCGACCAUUAAAGUUUCUUGUGAAAGUAACAUUUCGGGGCAGGGAUCGCCGCAGAGUUCUGUUGAAGCUUUCGACCUUUUGCGAGUUGGUGUUUUUGAUCGUCCUGUCCAGUACAGCUGGAGACAACCUCUUAGAGAUGCAGGCAUGGAGCCUUGCCUCAUUUUCCGCGGAAGACGCAGACCGUCCUUAUAGAGGGAAUCUGCAGCUCGACCGGCAGAGCUGUCCGGGUCAGUGGUUACCUCCCUUACCUCGAGGCCAUCUUUGCAGAGGAGUUCCGCCAUCCCCUCCCGAGCCCAAGUGAACUCAUCCCCAAUGGUAUGGUGCAUUGGUAGAUUUGCCCCACACACCCCAGGACUGCAGUGGUGGUUAGCAGUGCCCUCAUCCAAGACUUUCGCGUAGGAGGGGGAGU